Molecule: unclassified non-coding RNA, 240 nt
Filed under: soil metagenome
Description: partial contains 5.8S ribosomal RNA, internal transcribed spacer 2, and large subunit ribosomal RNA
Source: RNAcentral
AACGCACGAGACCUGCGGACCUGCGGAAGGAUCAUCAUGGGAAAAAUGUGACUUGUGAGUUUUCUGUUGCUCACUCACCAAGCUGUGGGGAGUGGCGUGGUGGGGGGGGCGCAUACUCUGCAACUGUUUCUGUGGGGGAUCUGGCUCUCUCACUCGCGCUUUCCGCAGCUUCAUCCAAACGAUCGCAACAAUGAUCAGAGAAAUUGGGAUUGGAUUGGGGGGGCGCCGUUUUACCACGGC